RNAcentral lists this ribosomal RNA (253 nucleotides) under uncultured bacterium. Its description in RNAcentral is "partial 16S ribosomal RNA". It matches the Rfam family "Bacterial small subunit ribosomal RNA", at positions 524 to 776 of the family's 1533-position model. The record is from RNAcentral.
UACGUAGGGGGCUAGCGUUGUCCGGAAUCAUUGGGCGUAAAGCGCGUGUAGGCGGUUCGGUAAGUCCGCUGUGAAAGUCGAGGGCUCAACCCUCGAAUGCCGGUGGAUACUGUCGGGCUAGAGUACGGAAGAGGCGAGUGGAAUUCCUGGUGUAGCGGUGAAAUGCGCAGAUAUCAGGAGGAACACCAAUUGCGAAGGCAGCUCGCUGGGACGUUACUGACGCUGAGACGCGAAAGCGUGGGGAGCAAACAGG